RNAcentral lists this long non-coding RNA (557 nucleotides) under Nicotiana benthamiana. RNAcentral's name for it is "long non-coding RNA (NBEN_LNC029763)". The record is from RNAcentral. Lineage: Eukaryota; Viridiplantae; Streptophyta; Magnoliopsida; Solanales; Solanaceae.
AAGGUAUCUUUUGCUGAGAAUGGCUGGUAUUCUUCUUGUUUAUGUAGGACAUUAUGCUACGCAGUGAAUAAAUAUAUUACAGAUCUUGUCUAUGUAACAUGCGCAAUUUUCUUUCUGGGAUAUCAAUUUUGGCCUGUACUUCCAUUUGCGGUCAAUGCAUUGAUGAGAAGAGGGAUGAGAUUCAUAUUUAACCUUGAGAAAUGAAGAUUUCUGGCUUCCUCUAGUUCUUUUUCUCUGAUGAAAAUAACAUUUCUUAAACAGAUAAUGGAGAUUGCCAGUGUAUUGCUCAUAGGACUUUCUAUGGGCUCUUGAGAUCUGAUGUCACAUGUACUUCGUGUGGAUUCACUUCAACAACUCAUGAUCCUUGUAUGGACAUUUCUCUUGACUUGAGUAGCUGCAACUCCAGCCAUCGUGCGGAUUCACUUCAACUACUCAUGAUCCUUGUAUGGACAUUUCUCUUGACUUGAGUAGCUGCAACUCCAGCCGGAAGGAUUUGGCUGAUAAGUCGAGUAAGCCUAAUGAAUCUCUUGUAGGUUGCUUGGACCUCUUCACAAGAC